GACGAAUGCUGGCGGCGUGCUUAACACAUGCAAGUCGAACGGAAAGGCCCUGCUUUUGUGGGGUGCUCGAGUGGCGAACGGGUGAGUAACACGUGAGUAACCUGCCCUUGACUUUGGGAUAACUUCAGGAAACUGGGGCUAAUACCGGAUAGGAGCUCCUGCUGCAUGGUGGGGGUUGGAAAGUUUCGGCGGUUGGGGAUGGACUCGCGGCUUAUCAGCUUGUUGGUGGGAUAGUGGCUUACCAAGGCUUUGACGGGUAGCCGGCCUGAGAGGGUGACCGGCCACAUUGGGACUGAGAUACGGCCCAGACUCCUACGGGAGGCAGCAGUGGGGAAUAUUGCACAAUGGGCGGAAGCCUGAUGCAGCAACGCCGCGUGCGGGAUGACGGCCUUCGGGUUGUAAACCGCUUUCGCCUGUGACGAAGCGUGAGUGACGGUAAUGGGUAAAGAAGCACCGGCUAACUACGUG
Molecule: ribosomal RNA, 468 nt
Filed under: uncultured bacterium
Lineage: Bacteria
Description: partial 16S ribosomal RNA
Rfam family: Bacterial small subunit ribosomal RNA
Source: RNAcentral